This 485-nucleotide ribosomal RNA is filed under the name uncultured bacterium. RNAcentral's name for it is "partial 16S ribosomal RNA". It matches the Rfam family "Bacterial small subunit ribosomal RNA", at positions 30 to 507 of the family's 1533-position model. The record is from RNAcentral.
UUGCACGCUGGCGGCAUGCCUUACCCAUGCAAGUCGAACGGCAGCACGGGUGCUUGCCCCUGGUGGCGAGUGGCGAACGGGUGAGUAAUACAUCGGAACAUGUCCUGUAGUGGGGGAUAGCCCGGCGAAAGCCGGAUUAAUACCGCAUACGAUCCACGGAUGAAAGCGGGGGACCUUCGGGCCUCGCGCUAUAGGGUUGGCCGAUGGCUGAUUAGCUAGUUGGUGGGGUAAAGGCCUACCAAGGCGACGAUCAGUAGCUGGUCUGAGAGGACGACCAGCCACACUGGGACUGAGGCACGGCCCAGACUCCUACGGGAGGCAGCAGUGGGGAAUUUUGGACAAUGGGCGAAAGCCUGAUCCAGCAAUGCCGCGUGUGUGAAGAAGGCCUUCGGGUUGUAAAGCACUUUUGUCCGGAAAGAAAUCCUUGGCUCUAAUACAGUCGGGGGAUGACGGUACCGGAAGAAUAAGCACCGGCUAACUACGUG